Molecule: ribosomal RNA, 352 nt
Filed under: uncultured bacterium
Lineage: Bacteria
Description: bacterial SSU rRNA
Rfam family: Bacterial small subunit ribosomal RNA
Source: RNAcentral
GGGUCCGCACAAGCGGUGGAGUAUGUGGUUUAAUUCGAUGCAACGCGAAGAACCUUACCAAGGCUUGACAUAUAGAGGAAAAGUGCAGAAAUGCACUCCCCGCAAGGUCUCUAUACAGGUGGUGCAUGGUUGUCGUCAGCUCGUGUCGUGAGAUGUUGGGUUAAGUCCCGCAACGAGCGCAACCCUCGUCCUAUGUUGCCAGCACGUAAUGGUGGGAACUCAUGGGAUACUGCCGGGGUCAACUCGGAGGAAGGUGGGGAUGACGUCAAAUCAUCAUGCCCCUUAUGUCUUGGGCUUCACGCAUGCUACAAUGGCCGGUACAGAGGGCUGCAAUACCGUAAGGUGGAGCGAA